GACCAAACUAUAAGAUGAAAGCCUCAGCCUCCCCCUUGACAUUGGUGCACACAUGCACGACGGAUCACCAACGGCAGACUUAGUCAGACUAAAUCUGUUAAGGCCUUUAUACAAGUCUGAAGUCGCAGCUAGCCCUCUGCUUGAAAGUCAUAGAUUCCUUCUUUUAACUUGGACAACCUGGUCGAAGGGCAAGCUAACGUGGGCGUCUACACGAGCUCUGUACCGAGGCUCCCUCGUGUAGAAGAAGGAGGAUGUGCGGUAAGGUGAGGAGAAGGAAGAAGUGGAACGACGUAGGUGUUGGUCGUUGCUGUCAAAGUCGAAGGAUAUGUUACCGAAGAGCCCACAGUUGGAGUGGGAGCUGCCGUUGCGGUUGCAGUGCGGCCUACCCGAGGAGCUCGAGUGGUUGCUGUGGUAGUUGGAGCCGGUGCGGAAGAUGGGCUGGGGCGACUCGGACGCGCCCAGCGGGUUGCCGUGCCACGCCAGGAAGAGGGAGUCGAAGCGCAAGCGGUAGGAGAGGCAGGUGCUCCCGUAGUCGCGGCUGCCGUACCGGAAGAAGCAGCGGGGGUGGUUCUUGGAGAGGUUGUGCACCCGCGUCAUGUACCCGGAGGAGUUGUCGCCGUUGUUGCCGUUGCGGUCGUUGGUGUACAAGCGGCAGCUCGAGCUGUGGUGGGUCUUGCUCCUCAAGGUUCUGUACCUGUUGUUGGUGCAGCCGUAGCUGUAGUUGUCGGAGUGGAGGAACGUCCGGAUGGCGUGGCCCAUGAUGCUACUUCCCUCGCCUAGGAAGUUGUUGGACUGGGAAUAGUCACCGUUCCGCUACGUCCAUACCCGACUGAUACUACCCCUCAGGUGCGUCUAGUUGCACAAGAACCGAGGAGAGCCUAAGCGAUUCGGCCUCUCCGGUGACGAAAGCAGGGGGAUAUUGGAGAGGUGUCAAGACUCUCUUGGUAGCAUGUAGCCGAAGCGUCGGUGUUGGCCGCGUUAGUCGUGUUAGGUGACGCAAGAGCCGACCUCGAAACGGUAAUUACCGGGACGAGGACGGUAACUGUGUAGGUUCGAGGGUUUCGAUGGUGCAGAACCAGGUCUCGGCGCGAGGUUCCAGGACCUCUAGUGGGACGGAUAACGGUGCCGGUACAAGCAGGAACAUCACCCUUGACAAUAGUAAGACCAACAAGCGUUUUCUAAGUCCAUGUCCCUCGACGCCCUUCUGACCCUCCAGCUAAAGCCCGGUGUAGCCAAGAGGAAGUUCCUGGACAAGGUACGUUGGCUUCCCAAGUUCCUUUUCUUGGACGAACCACACCCGCCCAAGCCGUUCCAUAUGUUUCCCUGUGAGGCUUUCAGGUUUGACUUUCACCGCCACUUCUCUCACAGAGUGCUCAGUUCCGUUCCCUACUUCCUCAAGUAGCGCCUCCAACAGUCAUAGCCGGCCGAGUCUGUGGCGUUGGAACACGGGGACGAACCAAUAACGGCUGCAUUUCCACUUGAAGAAAACCAAAUACUGAUGUACAGUUUACCAUCGGAGUUAGUCAUAGACAUGACACUUCUACCGUUCGGUAGUGACUUAACCCUCCUCUCCAAGGUAUAAUAGUUCCCGCAGCGUAAGCCGAACAAGAUGGAAGUGCUCUUCACCCUCUUUCAACAGUAUGUGGCUCUGCAAUUCGGCUCGUUGCACGAAGACCUGUCACUUUACUUACGUUCUGAUCCACUGAAACCAGAGAGUUCCGACAUGCUGGUACCGUGACUAGGUGUUUGGUGUGUAUACCAACCUUGGUACCCUAUGGACCGCGGACUCAUGCAGGUGUGCCCGUUCCGUAGGUGAGACUGCCUGUACAAACGUAAGCCGUAUAAAGAGGAACUCCAGUGAAGACCCGUCUCCGGAUAGUUCGUCUUGGGUAAACCGUUGUUUGUAUGUAACCAACUGACCCAAUAUCUCGCGACCGUGUUGCCUAGCGAGUACCUCUGACACCUAGGCUCUGACGCCCCACUGAUGUUGUAGCUACUACGUAGAAACCACGACUUCGAUCCCGAAGAUACGAGCGUGGGAAAAUGAUCGCGUUCCGGGUGUUACGCUGUACAGUACGUCAUGGAGCUUCCACUAUGUGGUGAGGGUCUCGAUUGUGGUCGUGUAAAGUCGAAGUGAUACGUCCGGAACUGCGUUUUGUCUCCUAACCUUAGUGGUUUACACGUCAUAGGAGUCAAUAGCUGCUCAAAACGGUGAAAAAGGUCGGAGAGUCCUCCUUCUAUUGUGUACGUAUAUGCCACAAACCACAAUAACACAGAGAAGUCUACAAUUUUAUAGACGAAAGAAAGAACGCAUAAAUCAGACCUAUCUAUGAUAUAAGAUUACAUAAGCUUGCGAUCGAUCCCUCAUAUAGUUUCUAAAUGAAGUGAAGUUUACAAUGAGACAUACAGAUACAAGUCGAAUUAAUGAGUACCUCAAUUAAUUAGUUAGAAGACAUAGAAGAUGUACCAAGGUCAGACUUACAUCAUGUACACUUAAGUACUUAAAAUG
Molecule: ribosomal RNA, 2509 nt
Filed under: Triticum aestivum (bread wheat)
Lineage: Eukaryota; Viridiplantae; Streptophyta; Magnoliopsida; Poales; Poaceae
Description: partial small subunit ribosomal RNA
Source: RNAcentral